Molecule: ribosomal RNA, 468 nt
Filed under: uncultured bacterium
Lineage: Bacteria
Description: partial 16S ribosomal RNA
Rfam family: Bacterial small subunit ribosomal RNA
Source: RNAcentral
GACGAACGCUGGCGGCGUGCUUAACACAUGCAAGUCGAACGGAAAGGCCCUGCUUUUGUGGGGUGCUCGAGUGGCGAACGGGUGAGUAACACGUGAGUAACCUGCCCUUGACUUUGGGAUAACUUCAGGAAACUGGGGCUAAUACCGGAUAGGAGCUCCUGCUGCAUGGUGGGGGUUGGAAAGUUUCGGCGGUUGGGGAUGGACUCGCGGCUUAUCAGCUUGUUGGUGGGGUAGUGGCGUACCAAGGCUUUGACGGGUAGCCGGCCUGAGAGGGUGACCGGCCACAUUAGGACUGAGAUACGGCCCAGACUCCUACGGGAGGCAGCAGUGGGGAAUAUUGCACAGUGGGCGGAAGCCUGAUGCAGCAACGCCGCGUGCGGGAUGACGGCCUUCGGGUUGUAAACCGCUUUCGCCUGUGACGAGGCGUGAGUGACGGUAAUGGGUAAAGAAGCACCGGCUAACUACGUG